AACUCGUCCGACCCACUGCUGUAUCCGCUGCCUGUGCCUACGUCGGCCAUCUUAGCGGGCAAUUUGCUUGAUUUAAGCACGGUACCGACCAAUCAUCCGGCAUUUGGGGGAUCAGAGAUGCCCAGGAUUUCUAUUUUUUUUAUGGGUUUCUGCACACAGUAUAAAUAUUUGCUUAAAAUAUAAAGUAAACUACGAAAAGUAAAGGAACAAACUGUAUUUAACAGAUUCUAGUUUUAAAGCAGGAUUUAUUUGACCCCCAUUAACCUACUUAAAAUUCUUAAUAUAUAUCAUACGAAAAUUAAACUAAGAAAAGUAAAAAAAAAACAUGAAUUUAUUUGAUAGUUACAUGUAUAAUUUAAUGCAAUUCUAAAUCAGUAUGUGUUAAUCUUUACCAAUCUACUUUUUAAAAAGUAAAGGAAAAAACAGUUUUUAACAAACUGUCUGCAAAUUAACCAAAAGCAGGGUUUGUUAAUUCAAUAUAGGGUACCGGUAUAUUGCAAGAGAUUACACAGUAUUCCUGGAUUCUUGGAAAUCAGAUCCAGUACUGUAUAACAUAAUGACUUCACAUUCAUUAUCUCACAAUCAUUGUUCUGCAAUUAAUUGCUCCAAUCGUCAAUCCAAGCGACCUGAUUUGUCUUUCUUCAGAUUUCCAAAGAAUAAAGAGAGGUGCCAACAAUGGGUUCAGAAUACUUGUAGAGAUGAUUUGCUCGACAAAAGCCCUCUUUAUCUUAAUCACAAUUGCCACAUCUGUGCUGACCACUUUGAAGAUGAUCAGUUUUCAAACAAACUAACAAAGAACAGAUUGAAAUGGAAUGCUGUGCCAACACUUUUCAAUAUACCAGGCUACACUCUAAAGACCUCGUUAACUUCUCACAAGGCCAUGAAGAGAAAAAAAAACAAUGAUUCCACGCAAUUUGCCUUAAAACACCAAACAGAGAUCCCAUCUCCACUUAUUGACCACUCGUAUUCCAAGCCAAACACAGAAGACAGUUGCAACAGCAAUGUCAGCAACUGCCACAGACAAAAGACUCCAGCAUCAUCUUCAGACAACGAAGCAUCACAGAAAGAAGGGGAACAUUUCAAAAAUGGACAACAUCAAGCAUUCCAAAUGAAUAAGGAAGUAAACCAACACCAGAUUGUUAGUGACCUUCGUGUGAAUAAUUCCACCACAAACUCCCACCUGGUUAAACCACGGAAAGACAACAACACUCCAAGACUUUGUAUUCCGCCUUUGCGAAAGCUGUCAGAGACCCCAUUUGAUCUGAAUAAACAAGGAGAUUCUGGUUUUCAAUCACCAGUUCAGAUUAAACAGGAACCUUGUGAAGAAGAGGCACCAUUACACCAACCAUUUACACCAAAUCUGUUACUGGCUGAUAACCAUUUUGUUACCAUAAAACCAAGCACCAACCAAAUAUCAUCUUCAGGUCCUUUAUCUUCUGAACUCACACCUUAUUCUGAAAGUGAACCAGCACAGAAAGAUUUUCUCAAUCAUUCCACCAGUUUCUCAUGUCUUGAAGAAAAAAACAUCAAAGUCCAGAAUGUCUUCUCAGUACCAAUAGAUUUCUCCAGAAAGACAGAAGACAAGAAACAUGUAUCAAUCAGCCGCAACUGCCUGAAGACAUUGGUGUCUUUAGUAUCGUGUCCAACCUGCCAAGCAGAAGUAAACCCUCAAGAAACAAUUCAAGGCUUCAAAACGGGGACAUUGAUUUCUUUGAAUCUCUUCUGUUACAAUGGUCACAGUAUACAACCUCAGCAGUAAGGUUUCAGCAACAGCCAGAAUCACUGACAACUCUUAUAACAUUUAUUUUUGCAAUCAUAAGCAAAAUAUUUGGCAGAAAGAAAGCCAUUAUUAGCGGUUCGGCAAAAGAGAC
RNAcentral lists this unclassified non-coding RNA (1871 nucleotides) under Octopus sinensis (East Asian common octopus). RNAcentral describes it as "tHAP domain-containing protein 5-like, transcript variant X2". Lineage: Eukaryota; Metazoa; Mollusca; Cephalopoda; Octopoda; Octopodidae. The record is from RNAcentral.